This 1214-nucleotide long non-coding RNA is filed under the name Fragaria vesca (wild strawberry). Its description in RNAcentral is "long non-coding RNA (FVES_LNC002344)". Lineage: Eukaryota; Viridiplantae; Streptophyta; Magnoliopsida; Rosales; Rosaceae. The record is from RNAcentral.
UAUUGCAUGUACUUUGGUUCUGGGUGAGGCACAACAAUCUCAAGAUGCUGACGACGAUGAAGAGCGACCAAGUGAAUCAGAACCUCAUGACGAGGACGAAGAAUUGAUUGCGGGUGCUUCAAACAAUCCAGAUGAAAAUGUAGAACAACCUAAUGCAGAUGAGCAAGAUGCAGAGGAGCGCGAUGACAAGCCUCUGACUCCCCAAAAUGCAGAGGAAAGUCCAAUUGGUGAAGAAUCAAAUGACACCAAACAGAAAUUGCGCUUGCCAAAUAAGAAAAAACCUCCGAGUAGAGUUGCAAAGAAGGGAAACGAAAAGCGUUCUGGAGUCCAUCAAGGUGUGAAUGUUGCACGUACAUUGGUUCUGGGUGAGGCACAACAAUCUCAAGAUGCUGACGACGAUGAAGAGCGAGCAAGUGAAUCAGAACCUCAUGACGAGGACGAAGAAUUGAUUGCAGGUGCUUCAAACAAUCCAGAUGAAAAUGUAGAACAACCUGAUGCAGAUGAGCAAGAUGCAGAGGAGCGCGAGGACAAGCCUCUGACUCCCCAAAAUGCAGAGGAAAUUCCAAUUGGUGAAGAAUCAAAUGACACCAAACAGAAAUUGCGCUUGCCAAAUAAGAAAAAACCCCCGAGUAGAGUUGCAAAGAAGGGAAACGAAAAGCGUUCUGGAGUCCGUCAAGGUGUGAAUGUUGCACGUACAUUGGUUCUGGGUGAGGCACAACAAUCUCAAGAUGCUGAAGACGAUGAAGAGCGAGCAAGUGAAUCAGAACCUCAUGACAAGGACGAAGAAUUGAUAGCUGGUGCUUCAAACAAUCCAGAUGAAAAUGUAGAACAACCUGAUGCAGAUGAGCAAGAUGCAGAGGAGCGCGAUGACAAGCCUCUGACUCCCCAAAAUGUAGAGGAAAGUCCAAUUGGUGAAGAAUCAAAUGAUACCAAACAGAAAUUGCGCUUGCCAAAUAAGAAAAAACCUCCGAGUAGACUUGCAAAGAAGGAAGAUAAAGAGCGCUCUAGAGUCCGUCAAGGUGUAAAUGUUGCACGUACUUCGGUUCUGGAUGAGGCACAACAAUCUCAAGAUGGUGACGACGAUGAAGAGCGAGCAAGUGAAUCAGAACCUCAUGACGAGGACAAAGAAUUGAUUGCGGGUGCUUCAAACAAUACAGAUGAAAAUGUAGAACAACCUACUGCGGAUGAGCAAGAUGUAAAGCAUGAUGACAAGC